CUUUGGAGGUGAACAGUUCCACCCACAGGCAACCAGAUCAGAGGAUUCUUGAGGCAAUUUCAAGGUCUUCUACACUUGGAAUUCAAACUUCAAAACCAAGGUCAAGGUCUGCCUCUGACUUUCUGGAAUCAGCAAAAAGAUCAAGCACUCUAGCAAGACAACAGGGAAGUAGUGUGGCAGGGUCAACUCAGACCACGGUAGUAUCUUCCACUGUCUCUCACAAUAGCUCUUCCCAGGAGUCAUACAGCAUUCUUCACAGACAAGUAAUUUCAUCAUCUGUUUCCGAUCACUCUGAGUCUGAAGCAGUGCCCGUGUAGAUGGUGAGGUUCCUCUUGACUUUCCUAAUAUGAUGACUACAUUGAAGAGACAUUUUCAAAAAUGCACUCCCUGGGCAAAAGCUUACAACUCCUUUGAAUGGCUUACAGAAGCAGGAUGAUCACUGGCUACCUCCCUUCCAAUGAAGAAAUCUUAUUCUUCAGUCUCGUGCUGCGUCGGCACACUCCAGUCUCCCCCAUUGCUCCCUACUAUAAUCUGCUUCGCUGGUUUAUACCUGAUUCUUAAGCGGUUAUUUACAUCAGCAUUUAAGCUGUCAAUUUAGGACCCAGCAAUUAUCCACCUUACAAUCCUGAAUAUGUUUUGGGCUUUAUUACUGUAAAACUAUGGUGAAAGGAAGGGCAGUACACUUAAAAUGUCUAUAUUUACAUUUAUAUUCCUACAUUUUCUAUAUUUAUAUUUUUCCCUAUAGCAAAAUCAAAUCAUGUUAUUAUAUUAUAUGAUCAAUAUGUAAAUUUAGUCUGUUGCAUGAAUGAUAAUUAUUAUCGAUAAUUAGGAAUAUCUGGGUACUAUUUGCUUUUUUUUGCUAUUAAAAUAUAUUCUGAACAUUUCAAAAUACUCUGUUGAAGGCCACUUGUCUUUUUCUAAAGUAAUUCUACACGAAUAUUAUCUGUCUUUUAAAAAAGGUUAACUAAAGUUAGUUAUAGAAUGGUUUCAGUUUGUUUCGUAUCAAUAGAAAUCACUAUCUUACACAGAAUAAUAUUUCAUUUUGUAGAACGCAAAUGUCAAUCUAACAUGACUCUUAGUCUGUUUUAAUUUACUACAUUCUGAUUAAAUUCAAGAAAUAAGUGUUACCGAAUUGGUGUUCAAUUAUUAUUAAACAUAAAAUGAACAUCACAUUUGCAAAGUUUUAACAAUCUUUUUUGUACCAGGUGUCCAAGCAUUUAUUGAGCAGGUACGAUAUAGAUACUUUUGUUUAUGACUAUCAUUUGACCAACAGGGUGUACAGUCUACAGUGAAAGUCACAGGUAAGGAGUGCAGGUGGCCAUUGCUUGAAGCAAUCUGCAACACAUGCAUCGUACCACUUGUACUGUAUACCAGUAAGAUUUACUGUAACAUGAGCAAACUACAGGUGAAGUUUAAUCAUUAGAAGUGCAGCUGAAACAAAAGUAUUCGCACAAGGGUGCUGCUUUUUCACAGUGUUCUUAAUCCCCUCAAUCCACACAAACAGCUCCAUUAAAUGAAGUAAAGUGCAGCAUAUGCCAAUAAUUGUGAAAUAUAAAUGUCUCAUUCCUCUAUUGACUGGUGCCCAUAUAGUUAGUCAUUAUUUGAUGUUGUUAUGCGUAAGGCUGGGAGUAUGUUGGUAAAAUCAAUUUCUAGGUCACAGGGUUAUUAUAUCUGUUAAUGUGGCCAGAAUCCAAAAAAGCAGGAAAACAGCAUCACAGGAUCACAGG
Molecule: long non-coding RNA, 1727 nt
Filed under: Lepisosteus oculatus (spotted gar)
Lineage: Eukaryota; Metazoa; Chordata; Actinopteri; Semionotiformes; Lepisosteidae
Description: lncRNA (ENSLOCG00000021661.1)
Source: RNAcentral